This 127-nucleotide small RNA is filed under the name Marmota monax (woodchuck). The record is from RNAcentral. Lineage: Eukaryota; Metazoa; Chordata; Mammalia; Rodentia; Sciuridae.
GCCGGGUGCUGUGGUGCACACUUGUAAUCCCAGUGGCUUGGGAGGCUGAGACAGGAGGAUCAUGAGUUCAAAGUCAGCCUCAGCAAUUUAGGGAGGCCCUAAGCAACUCAGUGAGACCCCGUCUCUA